CGCGAACUCUUGGGUGCAAGCCAUCCUCCUGCCUCAGCUACCCAAAGUGUUGGGAUUACAGGCCCUGCACUUCUGAGGCUUGAUCUGCGAUGCUGGGAGAGAUGGGACGCUGCCAGAAGGGGCUACUGGCAGGCUGCCAAGAGGCUGCCCACAGAGGCCUUUGCCCUGACAAAUUCACCCCUGGGGCCCUGAGUCUGCCCUCAGCCUGGCAGCUGGUAGAGAGGAGAUCCAGGUCCCAGCUGUGGACUCAGACGAAUCAAUUGCUCGGGAGGCCAAUAUAUACACCAGAUGAGUUGGCUGACUCAUUAGGCACUUCCCACAAUCCAGUUCCUUCAUCCCCCUGCCGCCCCUGCCACAAGCUUCCUGCUGGAGUCUGGAGGACCUCAAAGAUGUCCAAGGAGGCCAGCCCUUGGGAGGCCGAGGACUUCACAGCCCGAGGGGAGAGCAAGUCAUCCAGCCGCUGAGACCCACUCAGACCACGAACAGGGCAGGUGCUCAGAGGGCUCGCCCUCUCGUCUACCCCAAACUGGCUGUUGGACAUUCUAGUGUUGACCCAGAGAAAGAAGCUGAGGCAAAAUCAAUAUACAGGGUUAAUUUGGGCCAAGAGUGAGGACAGCCAUUAGGGACACACUUCAAGUUGCCUUGGGGUGUGCUCUGUGUUCAGCUUUUGUUACAAGCAGACCUUUAAAGGCAAAAGGGGACGGCCGGGCGCGGUGGCUCACACCUGUAAUCCCAGCACUUUGGGAGGCCGAGACGGGUGGAUCACGAGGUCAGGAGAUCGAGACCAUCCUGGCUAACACUGUGAAACCCCGUCUCUACUAAAAAUACAAAAAAUUAGCCGGGUGCGGUUGCAGGCAUCUGUACUCCAAGCUACACAGGAGGCUGAGGCAGGAGAAUGGCGUGAACCUGGGAGGCGGAGCUUGCAGUGAGUGGAGAUCACACCACUGCACUCCAGCCUGGGCGGCAGAGCGAGACUCCGUCUCAAAAAAAAAAAAAGGCUAAAGGGUUGACAAGGAGUGGGUGAUUCAACAAUGUUCUUAGUAGUUUGCAGGAAUAACAUUGGCUUGUGAUUGGCUAUGCAUUAUUGAGCUAUGGGGUAUGAGUUACGGUGUCUGGAAUAUGGCAUUUUAUGGCUACGUGAUAUCAGUCUAGAGCCCACAUAGCAAGUGGCUUCAAGAGGUAAUUAUUUAGCCUGGUGGUUGGGGGUGGGGUGAGAUGUGACUGCUGUCAUUUGCUGUUGCAUUUCUUUUUUGAGACAGAGUCUCACUCUGUUGCCCAGGCUGGAGUGCAGUGGUGCAAUCUUGGCUCAAGCGAUUCUCCUGCCUCAGCCUCCUGAGUAGUUGGGAUUACAGGUG
Non-coding RNA from Chlorocebus sabaeus (green monkey), 1355 nucleotides. The record is from RefSeq and is a predicted model, not a curated record. NCBI's taxonomy places the organism in Eukaryota, Metazoa, Chordata, Mammalia, Primates, Cercopithecidae.